Hemiscyllium ocellatum (epaulette shark) is the source of this 268-nucleotide long non-coding RNA. RefSeq lists it as uncharacterized. The record is from RefSeq and is a predicted model, not a curated record. The transcript is spliced from 3 exons. NCBI's taxonomy places the organism in Eukaryota, Metazoa, Chordata, Chondrichthyes, Orectolobiformes, Hemiscylliidae.
GGAUAAUGACCAGGAGAUCCGCCGCUGCCAUGGCCCCCAGGUAUCUGUGUUAGCUGUUUGGAUACAGAAUUGGCUGGCCAGCAGAAGACAGCGAGUGGUAGUGGAAGGAAAAUAUUCUGCCUGGAAGUCAGUGAAUCCCUGCAGUGUGGAAACAAACCCUUCGGCCCAACAAGUCCAUACCAACCUUCCAAAGAGUAACUUUCCCAUGCCCUUACAGUUACCACUGACUAGUGCACCUAAAGUAGAAAUCGCUGAACACUAUGGACCA